RNAcentral lists this ribosomal RNA (157 nucleotides) under Hericium erinaceus (lion's mane mushroom). Its description in RNAcentral is "5.8S ribosomal RNA". It matches the Rfam family "5.8S ribosomal RNA". Rfam says of the family: 5.8S ribosomal RNA (5.8S rRNA) is a component of the large subunit of the eukaryotic ribosome. It is transcribed by RNA polymerase I as part of the 45S precursor that also contains 18S and 28S rRNA. Functionally, it is thought that 5.8S rRNA may be involved in ribosome translocation. Lineage: Eukaryota; Fungi; Basidiomycota; Agaricomycetes; Russulales; Hericiaceae. The record is from RNAcentral.
CAACUUUCAACAACGGAUCUCUUGGCUCUCGCAUCGAUGAAGAACGCAGCGAAAUGCGAUAAGUAAUGUGAAUUGCAGAAUUCAGUGAAUCAUCGAAUCUUUGAACGCACCUUGCGCCCCUUGGUAUUCCGAGGGGCACGCCUGUUCGAGUGUCGUG